CCUACGGGAGGCAGCAGUGAGGAAUAUUGGUCAAUGGCCGUAAGGCUGAACCAGCCAAGUCGCGUGAAGGAAGAAGGAUCUAUGGUUUGUAAACUUCUUUUAUAGGGGAAUAAAGGUAUCCACGUGUGGAUAUUUGCAUGUACCCUAUGAAUAAGCAUCGGCUAACUCCGUGCCAGCAGCCGCGGUAAUACGGAGGAUGCGAGCGUUAUCCGGAUUUAUUGGGUUUAAAGGGUGCGUAGGUUGUUUUUUAAGUCAGCGGUGAAAGUUUGUGGCUCAACCAUAAAAUUGCCGUUGAAACUGGCAGACUUGAGUGUGUUUGAGGUAGGCGGAAUGCGUGGUGUAGCGGUGAAAUGCAUAGAUAUCACGCAGAACUCCGAUUACGAAGGCAGCUUACUAAGCCAUAACUGACACUGAAGCACGAAAGCGUGGGGAUCAAACAGGAUUAGAUACCCUGGUAGUC
This 460-nucleotide ribosomal RNA is filed under the name uncultured bacterium. RNAcentral's name for it is "partial 16S ribosomal RNA". It matches the Rfam family "Bacterial small subunit ribosomal RNA", at positions 338 to 795 of the family's 1533-position model. The record is from RNAcentral.